AGCCUGCGAAGGUGGCCUGUGAGGGUUGCUGGAGGUAUCAGAAGUGCGAAUGCUGACAUAAGUAACGAUAAAGCGGGUGAAAAGCCCGCUCGCCGGAAGACCAAGGGUUCCUGUCCAACGUUAAUCGGGGCAGGGUGAGUCGACCCCUAAGGCGAGGCCGAAAGGCGUAGUCGAUGGGAAACGGGUUAAUAUUCCCGUACUUGGUGUUACUGCGAAGGGGGGACGGAGAAGGCUAUGUUGGCCGGGCGACGGUUGUCCCGGUUUAAGCGUGUAGGUGUGUGUUCCAGGUAAAUCCGGUUCACUUUAACACUGAGGCGUGAUGACGAGGCACUACGGUGCUGAAGCAACAAAUGCCCUGCUUCCAGGAAAAGCCUCUAAGCAUCAGGUAACAUCAAAUCGUACCCCAAACCGACACAGGUGGUCAGGUAGAGAAUACCAAGGCGCUUGAGAGAACUCGGGUGAAGGAACUAGGCAAAAUGGUGCCGUAACUUCGGGAGAAGGCACGCUGACACGUAGGUGAAGUGAUUUACUCAUGGAGCUGAAGUCAGUCGAAGAUACCAGCUGGCUGCAACUGUUUAUUAAAAACACAGCACUGUGCAAACACGAAAGUGGACGUAUACGGUGUGACGCCUGCCCGGUGCCGGAAGGUUAAUUGAUGGGGUCAGCGCAAGCGAAGCUCCUGAUCGAAGCCCCGGUAAACGGCGGCCGUAACUAUAACGGUCCUAAGGUAGCGAAAUUCCUUGUCGGGUAAGUUCCGACCUGCACGAAUGGCGUAAUGAUGGCCAGGCUGUCUCCACCCGAGACUCAGUGAAAUUGAACUCGCUGUGAAGAUGCAGUGUACCCGCGGCAAGACGGAAAGACCCCGUGAACCUUUACUAUAGCUUGACACUGAACAUUGAGCCUUGAUGUGUAGGAUAGGUGGGAGGCUUUGAAGUGUGGACGCCAGUCUGCAUGGAGCCGGCCUUGAAAUACCACCCUUUAAUGUUUGAUGUUCUAACGUGGACCCGUGAUCCGGGUUGCGGACAGUGUCUGGUGGGUAGUUUGACUGGGGCGGUCUCCUCCUAAAGAGUAACGGAGGAGCACGAAGGUUGGCUAAUCCUGGUCGGACAUCAGGAGGUUAGUGCAAUGGCAUAAGCCAGCUUGACUGCGAGCGUGACGGCGCGAGCAGGUGCGAAAGCAGGUCAUAGUGAUCCGGUGGUUCUGAAUGGAAGGGCCAUCGCUCAACGGAUAAAAGGUACUCCGGGGAUAACAGGCUGAUACCGCCCAAGAGUUCAUAUCGACGGCGGUGUUUGGCACCUCGAUGUCGGCUCAUCACAUCCUGGGGCUGAAGUAGGUCCCAAGGGUAUGGCUGUUCGCCAUUUAAAGUGGUACGCGAGCUGGGUUUAGAACGUCGUGAGACAGUUCGGUCCCUAUCUGCCGUGGGCGCUGGAGAACUGAGGGGGGCUGCUCCUAGUACGAGAGGACCGGAGUGGACGCAUCACUGGUGUUCGGGUUGUCAUGCCAAUGGCACUGCCCGGUAGCUAAAUGCGGAAGAGAUAAGUGCUGAAAGCAUCUAAGCACGAAACUUGCCCCGAGAUGAGUUCUCCCUGAGACUUUAGGUCUCCUGAAGGAACGUUGAAGACGACGACGUUGAUAGGCCGGGUGUGUAAGCGCAGCGAUGCGUUGAGCUAACCGGUACUAAUGAACCGUGAGGCUUAACCUUACA
RNAcentral lists this ribosomal RNA (1705 nucleotides) under Salmonella enterica. RNAcentral describes it as "partial 23S ribosomal RNA". It matches the Rfam family "Bacterial large subunit ribosomal RNA", at positions 1245 to 2925 of the family's 2925-position model. Lineage: Bacteria; Pseudomonadati; Pseudomonadota; Gammaproteobacteria; Enterobacterales; Enterobacteriaceae. The record is from RNAcentral.